This 324-nucleotide long non-coding RNA is filed under the name Ananas comosus (pineapple). RNAcentral's name for it is "long non-coding RNA (ACOM_LNC011340)". Lineage: Eukaryota; Viridiplantae; Streptophyta; Magnoliopsida; Poales; Bromeliaceae. The record is from RNAcentral.
ACNGUUGCCGUUGCCGUCGCCGUCCUGCUCCGCCUCGUUGAAGCUCGCCACGAUUGUGGCCUCCUCCGCUUCCUUCUGGGCCAUCAUCUUUUUCUCUUCCACCCCUCCCCUUGUGGUCGUUCCCUUUUUCCCCUUAAGCUAGCUCCCGAAGCAGAGCUGAGAGGGAACGAAGGCCGAGAUCCGUACAGAUCCAAGAUCUGGAGGAACAGGGAGUGCAACGCGACAAAUCAGAACCGCGAAAACGAUACAUCAAAAGUCAAAAAAAUAAAUAAAUAAAAUAAAAUACACCCCCAAACCACCCCACCCCCCCCCCCCAAAAAAAAA